This 253-nucleotide ribosomal RNA is filed under the name uncultured bacterium. RNAcentral's name for it is "partial 16S ribosomal RNA". It matches the Rfam family "Bacterial small subunit ribosomal RNA", at positions 524 to 776 of the family's 1533-position model. The record is from RNAcentral.
UACGGAGGAUCCGAGCGUUAUCCGGAUUUAUUGGGUUUAAAGGGUGCGUAGGCGGCCUGUUAAGUCAGGGGUGAAAGACGGUAGCUCAACUAUCGCAGUGCCCUUGAUACUGACUGGCUUGAAUGGACUAGAGGUGGGCGGAAUGAGACAAGUAGCGGUGAAAUGCAUAGAUAUGUCACAGAACACCGAUUGCGAAGGCAGCUCACUAAGCUAUGAUUGACGCUGAGGCUCGAAAGCGUGGGGAUCAAACAGG